RNAcentral lists this long non-coding RNA (1748 nucleotides) under Marmota monax (woodchuck). Lineage: Eukaryota; Metazoa; Chordata; Mammalia; Rodentia; Sciuridae. The record is from RNAcentral.
CUCAAAGUGGCUGCACCAUUUUACAUUCCUAAGAAAUGUUAAGAUUGUAUUUUACUAUUUUUUCCAAAUAUAGUUUAAUACAAACAACUACAUAGACCACUUAUAUUGUCUUAGUAUCAUUUUAUGGAUGCAUUCUUGGGGUUAGUCUGUUGUAAUCAAAUAGACAAAUACCUCCCAUGGUCACCCCCAAAAUAAUAAAAAUAGGGAACUACUAAAUAGACAUUUGUUUUCUUCUAAAAUAUUUAACGGUGAAAUGCAAAAGAGUUGAAAGAGAGUUUUAUGGGAACCUACACUCAUCUUCCACUUGGAAACACAACAUGAAAUGAGUAAUUAUUAGCCUUAAGUUUUCAAUGUUAUGCUGCUGCUUUAUUCACUUUUUCUUUGGUUUGGAUAAAAGGAUAAUAUGAUGAGAUUCAUGGGAAAAAAUUGAAAAAUAGUAGCUUUUAGAAACAAAUGUAAGCAGUACAUAGUGGAUGUUUGUAAUUUUACUAUAGCUUUUUCUAAGCUUUGUAUUUAUGGCCUUUCAAAAUGAGAAGUGGAAAAAAACCCUACCCAAAUCUGUAAAUAAAUUCCUAAGAUUUUAUGAAUUAAUCUUAAAAUAUUAUUUGAAUAUUUGAAUAAGAAUCUUAUUUCUUAAAGUAACAUUUCUUCAGUGCAAUUUAUGUUGAUGCCCUCCUUUUUACUGUUCGAAGAAAGAAAAAUUUACACAUGUUAAUACCAACUUAGCAUACAAGGUUCAAUCACACCAGUUAAUAAAUAAAGUAAAUGGGAGGAACAUUAUUGUCCUCCCUCUCUUGCUAUAUUCUGAUUGUACUAUUCUAUUUUAUGGAAGUAGUAUUCAUAUUUCACACUAAGAAUUUUUUAUACAGAAAUUGUCUUACACCAUGAAUGCACGUUUUAUUGCUGAAUGCAAUUUGGUGUGUGGGGGGUACCAGACAUUGAACCCAGGGGCACUUAACCACUGAACCACAUUCCCAGCUUGUUGUUGUUAUUUUUUUAUUUUUUAUUUUGACACAGGGCCUUGAUAAGCUGCUUAGGACCUUGCUUAAUUGCUGAGGCUGGGUUUGAACUUGUGAUCCUCCUGCCUCAGCUUCCCAAGCUGGUGGAAUUUCAGGCAUGUGCCACUGUAACUGGCUGAAUGAAUUUUAAAUAACAAAAAAUCUGAUAUUUUUGCAUGUGGUUGUUGCUGAGCAAUUUUAAAAUUAUAGUACUUACAGUAGUUGCUUCGUGGCAGUUGUCACACCAAAUCACAGGGAAAUCUCUCUUCAAGGCCAAAACACAUUUUGCAUAAAUCAUAGCACCUAUACGUCUGUAUUCUGUAAGAAAUAUAUAUGAUAGAGUUUGAACAGAGUGAUGACAGAUAGAAAGAGGAAUGUUUUUCUUCUUUUCUUCCCUGUGAGCACAUAACAGUCUACCCAAGGAUGACAGUGGCUGACAUUUUGAACUAGUAUGGAAAUUUUGGUUACAUAGAUAGUGCUAAUGAUGUAUCUAGGAUUUGGCUAAAUAAGCAUAUACAGACACUCCUUUCUGAGGCAUACAAUAAACUACUAACUUUAAGAUAACUGAAAUUGAGCUCAACUAUGGAAAUAGUGGUUAAUGUAGUAUGCAGAAUCUGUGCUUUCCCUCUCUUCAUUACUCUAUGUAUGUGGACCUCUGUGCAUUGCUGGAAUAUUUCACUGAAUAAUUGGUUAUCUGGAAUAGCUCCUUUUAAUUUAUUUAUUAUAUGUUCUUUUUAGAUCAAUAGCUCC